This is a long non-coding RNA of Brienomyrus brachyistius, 540 nucleotides long. RefSeq lists it as uncharacterized. The record is from RefSeq and is a predicted model, not a curated record. Lineage: Eukaryota; Metazoa; Chordata; Actinopteri; Osteoglossiformes; Mormyridae. The transcript has 2 exons.
ACCAGCCAAUAAGGAGAAAGAGGAUGUUGUUGGUAAGACUGUCAGUUAGCUUGUGUGGGCGUGAGCAUUAGCUACUCUAACCCCACACAUCCUGUCUUCUCAGUCUGAGAGGCAUCAGCAGAGGAACCUUCAUGCAGCGUCUCCCUGAGCACAGGACUGACUGUCUCUCUCCUUCACAGGACGUGUCCUCUCUGAGGAGCUGCCCUCUGGGUAUGAAUAUGUGGAGGACAGUGAGGGAGACCCUUUCUCAGGUGAGAGAGCCUUAACCACACUGCCCCCUGGGGAUGCCCCCCUGUACCCAGCCAGACUGACUACGAUGAUGUGAGGGAGGAGGACCUAACUGUCCUGCCUGAGGAAGCUCCUAGCCAAAGGUUUAAAUAAAAGGGGCAAAUCAGCUUCAUAUUUCAUACGGACACCAUCACUAGUUCAUUUCUUCUGAAUUCAUCCCUUUGUGUUUUUCAGAUGGACAAUGUCCUUUAUUAAUGACCAUAUCUUUGUAUUGUUAUUCAUGAAAAACAAAUAAACACACGUUCAAUUAAA